GCAGAGCACUCCUAGGGAGGCAGCAUGGGGAAUAUUGCACAAUGGGCGCAAGCCUGAUGCAGCCAUGCCGCGUGUAUGAAGAAGGCCUUCGGGUUGUAAAGUACUUUCAGCAGUGAGGAAGGUGGAUAUGUUAAUAGCAUAUUCAUUUGACGUUAGCUGCAGAAGAAGCACCGGCUAACUCCGUGCCAGCAGCCGCGGUAAUACGGAGGGUGCGAGCGUUAAUCGGAAUUACUGGGCGUAAAGCGCAUGCAGGUGGUUUGUUAAGUCAGAUGUGAAAGCCCGGGGCUCAACCUCGGAAUUGCAUUUGAAACUGGCAAACUAGAGUACUGUAGAGGGGGUAGAAUUUCAGGUGUAGCGGUGAAAUGCGUAGAGAUCUGAAGGAAUACCGGUGGCGAAGGCGGCCCCCUGGACAGAUACUGACACUCAGAUGCGAAAGCGUGGGGAGCAAACAGGAUUAGAUACCCUGGUAG
This 470-nucleotide ribosomal RNA is filed under the name uncultured bacterium. RNAcentral describes it as "bacterial SSU rRNA". It matches the Rfam family "Bacterial small subunit ribosomal RNA", at positions 328 to 793 of the family's 1533-position model. The record is from RNAcentral.